Molecule: long non-coding RNA, 6842 nt
Filed under: Sorghum bicolor (sorghum)
Lineage: Eukaryota; Viridiplantae; Streptophyta; Magnoliopsida; Poales; Poaceae
Description: long non-coding RNA (SBIC_LNC003055)
Source: RNAcentral
UGCCAACAACGCACUUCGAACUGCUAGGCAAACGAAGAACAUGGGUGACACCAUAUCAAGAGGUGCAGACGUCAAGGUCCACACCUGAAUCAAAUGGCGCACCUAAAGAAUGAACACGGUGAGAAGUCUUGUUCAGAAGACUUAAAACAUUGAACCCUCGCCGAAAGGUAAAAUCGGUAGAUAUCCAUAUUUAUCCUUUCUGCAUUCCCUUUUCCCUUUAGUUACUUACUUUCCUUAAAUAGCUUAUUAGUUAAUCAUGCUAUCUUGAAAAGAAAAUAAAAAUAUUAAAAAUACUAAGCCCCAUGUGAGUAUGCUCGUGGCAUAAAACCCCUAAGUACAUUCACUGUGGUGGCGUAAAAAUAAAAUAAAUAUAUUCCUGUCCUAUAGAGAUGAAAAUAUAAAAAUAAAUUUAUGAUCCUACCAAAGAGAGUAAUAUUUAUUAGAGGAAGCUCAACAUGAUAAAUGUAACAGAACCGACCAAAUUAUAAGAGAUUAAGCCUAACAGUGACCAUUUGCAUAGUCAAACCAUCACGCUUAAGCCCAUAUAAUCCCGGUAGUCCGUGAAAUCUCGAAGGAUUUCAAUCCACAUAUCGCACAACAGCCAAGAUCGUAAUAAGUUUAGCGGUCGCUAUUCACAAAUACAUCCAGAGUACAACAUUCAUAAAAUACAUCGGAGUUCUUAAAAUUAUUACAAACCAAGUUCUUCAAGUAGCGGAAGCUUCAUAACUCGAAAAUACAACACACACAUUUAGUCUGAUACAGUGCCAUAGUUCGGUCAAUCCCACAAAAGCAACAGAGAAGACGAAGUGACCAUUGCCCUUGGUCUAGUCAUCACCCAUGGCUGGGUACAGACAGAGGAUGCAAUCACCAUAGUCCAUUUGACCAUCUGCAAAACAACAUGGGAGUAGAACCCUGAGUACGAGAAGGUACUCAGCUAGACUUAAACGUCAUAAACUUAAAAUAAAGACUCAUCAAGGAUCAUGAAGGCUAUAUAGUGGGGUAGCUGACAACCAUUUUGCAAAAACGUAGGAUUUUACUAUCAUAACCUACAUAAGUCUUUCUUCUUUUAAUUUGCUCAAGUUGAAAGUAUCAUUACCUAUCAUCUAGGUUUGCACCUGCACUAUUACAAGCAAGUAUAAGGAUAUGAUAGUACCUUAUCAUAGCAUUUCUUAAAACCAUUCAUCAACAUAACCCAAGUGUUCCAUAGUCCUUACUACGAGGACGAAGCUCAUGUCAAGUGCUCACUAUCCAGGAGUGAUGGCGAUUCGAAUCGAUUUCUAACCAGCUGGCGAGGUAUUCCCCAGACAAACCACACUCACUGAUCAAGUGAGCUACAGAUCACCGUAUUACACUAUCCAGGACCAAUUCGCGGGUUCGGCAGGCACUGCCAGUACCCGAGGACCGUUCCGGCGACCGAGGUAUCCAAGGUAUACCAAGGUUGCGCGCCGCGCCCUCGUCGUUCUCCUCAACCAUCACCAAUACAGCGCAUGGCGGCUCGAUUCCCGGCCUGGAUAGUGUUCAGGCUUCACGGUCGGAAUGACUUAUCCUUCCAGCUAAGUGUGGGGCAUGCGUUCAACAUGACAAGAGGGCCGUCAACGAUCGGUCCUUAAUCGACACAGGCAGGGGCACUAUGGUCAACCCACCAUAAGACCCUGCCCGGUCUCCAGUUACAUUCCACACUCGGUUAUUCUUUUCCCCAAGCAACCAAUGCUUAAUCAAGCAGGUAUCCACCUAUUUCUCGCAGGUGACAGGAAAUCACCCGACUUCUACCGGACUAAGCAAGCUAAGCAUAGACUCCGUGCCUAUCUACAUAGGACAAGGUAGGUGAACGAGUAGGGAUAACAAGGAGUACAUAUGCAUCAACGGUAUCAAUCAAAUCCUAUCACUUAGAUGCAAUAUAGUAGAACAAUUAUAGCGCAUCAUAUAAGUUAGCGAGAAUAGGGAGACUUAGAAUGCUCCGGGGCUUGCCUUUCUCAAACGUGCUGGGUUGGUGAUCCGGACACUCCUGUAGCUCUUCUCCAGGUUCCGGUGCUUCCGGAGGUUCCUGCUCCUGAAUCUCCUCGGGUUCCUCGGGUCCCACUUCGUUCUCCUGCGAGCCUGUAUGAUGCAUGUGUGCUUAUGAGUGGAGUGCGAGAUGCCCGAGUGGAUGCUUGUAUGAGAAAGUACCAAAGGAGUCAUGACAUGAUGCAUAUGUAAUGUACUCGGUCCUGCUCAUUACAAGGUAGUCAACAUCAUCCAAGAACAACAAUUGAAUCAAACAUCUAUUGCAUUCUCUUCUACAAUUUAUUUUUCAAAUGCAACCAGCAACCCACAUGAUGCUUCAAAGAUACACCAAACCCAACUUAUUCUAUUCAACCUAUAUACACAACAAUUCAUAAUUUUCUUUAUUCAUUUCUAGGCCCAUUAAAAAUCACAUGCAAUUCUGUUCAUCAAUAAAUUCCACAAAAAUUACAGGAGACUACCAGCUAAGCAUAAAGUCUACUGUAAAUUUUUCAUAAUUUUUGGAUACUUAUUUUGAGCCACAAAAAUCACAAGAUUAAUUCAUAGAGUAAGUAUAAUAACUCUACUGUGAUAUAAGUGUCAAACAACAGAUUUCAUAUUUUUACAAUUUGUCUAAUAUCAUAAGAAACACCCACAAAAUUUUCCAGAUUUAUUGCAUGAUCCAAUUAAUUAUUAAAAAUCAUAAAUCACUGCCAUGCAAGCAUUUAAAUUACCAUAAAUUCAUUUAUACACCAAAUAAUAUGUAGCAAUAUUUUCCCAGUGAGUAAACAUACAUGAAGAGCCAACAAAUCAAAUUUCACAUUUUUCUGAACCAUAUUUUAUUUACUAUGCAUUUUCCAAGUUUAGCAAAAACAUAGAUUAAAUAUAUUCAUUCAGAAAAGUUACUCAAACAUGACAUGCAAUUACAUCAAACUGUAGAUCUGGAAACAUAGAGCACAACAAAAUUUAUUUCGUCCAAUUUGGAGCUGUAGAACUCAAGAUAUGAAUUUUACAAGUUUUGAAUCAAUUUCUAGAAAUCAUUUAUUCAAGAAAACCGACGAAAAAGGCUACGCACACCCAGAUCUACACCCACCGGGGUCCCCCUGCAACUGACAGUGGGUCCCUGACCCCACCGGUCAGCGAGACCGAGAGGGAGCUCACCUCCGACGAGCAGAUCUCGCCGGCGGUGAGGUCUCCGGCCACGGGGUAAGCACCAACGUGCUCCCCGCAGCGAGGCGCACCCAACGGUACCCUUGGAUUGGCCGGAGGAUGACCGGAACACCUCCGACGAGCAUGCAUGGCGGCACGGCGGCGCUGCUCGCCGUGGCCAGGCCGCUCCGGCGCGGUAGAGCGUGCGCAAACGCCUCUCCGAGCUUCCUCACCACCCUACCGACCUAGCGCACCCAAGAACCAGCGAAAAGAGGCAGAGAAACACAAGAUCCGUCGCGGCGGAGUACUCCGGCAAGCUCGGGGUAACUCCGGCGAGCUAUUCAUGGCGCUCGACGGACUCUCACCUCGGUAGAAUGCGCGCACAAGCUUACCCUAACGAUGACGAAGGCGCUGGUGCUCUCGGCGGUGAGCUUGAGGCUCUGGUGUGGUCGGCGGCGAGCGGCGGGGCUUUCUCCGGCAAUGGCGCGUGGAGGAGCUGCUGCUGCUGCGCGGUGCGAGCGGAGGGAGGAAGGAGAAGGAGGGCGCGGGGGACAGAACGGAGGAAAUGGCCUGGGAGCCCAAGCCGACGUCCCGACCAGGGGGGGUUGGAGGCCGGCCGCGGCGCGUCCAACGCCGGCGUACGGCCGCCACGUGGCCGGCGCCGGGUGGAGCGAGGCGCGUCCGCGCGCGGGAGAGAGGGGGAGAGGGGGAGGAGGCCGGGCCGCUCGCUGGGCCGAAAGGGAAGCGGGGUUGGCCCAGCAGCGCCUGCCCCUUUUCUUUUUUUAAAAAUUUCUUUUCUCCAAAUUCUUUCUAAAUUCAUUUCGACCAAUUUAAAAUCAUUUUCACCUCUUGCUCCCAAAAACAAAGUUGUUCAAAAACAAAAACUCUACAACUUUGCUUUAAUAAGCAAGACCAAAUUCCAAAUAGAAUUUGAAUCACAAAUUAAAACUUAGUUCUAUGUUUUUAAAUAAAUUCAAUUUGGAAAUCUUGUAUAAAUUCCAUUUCUCAAAUUCCAUAGCUCCAAAAUUUACACAAAAAUACUCUAAAUUCUUCCUACACAUAAAUCAACCUAGUUUGAAUAUUUCACAUUUUUAGAAGCAAGCAUCAUAUUUUUAGCAUAAUUAAAACACAUGAAAUAAAGCACAUAAAAUCAGGUUUUGGGAUGAAUGACAUGCCCAUGAUGCUAUGCUUGAUGAGAAUGCUUAUGCAUGUUGUGAUAGGGCUAAAUGCAUGCUUAACACCUAGGGUGUUACAAUAAAGGCUAGAUAUUUAUGCUAACACUUAACCAGUUGCACAAAGCUUUGUUGUCUAUUUGAGCUCCACAGAAUUCAAGGAUCAAAGAAGACCACAGAAUUCAAGGAUCAAAGAAGACUAGCAGACGGAGGACAUCCUAAUCGCUGUUAGGGUGCUGCCGACAUUCAAAUACACCUCCACCACCUGCUAGCUACAUCAGAAGAAAUUACGUCAAAAUCCAACUUGGGGGAGAGCACCCCCAUUUAACCAGCUAAGUGUUUCUACUCGUGUUUAUACUUUACUCAAAUAAUAAAAAGAUGCAUAAUUAUAAAAACCCAAAUAAAGCUUUUAUGCUUAUAUAUAUAUAUAUCUAUGCUUAGUUUGCUAAAUAAAUAAAUAAAUAAAGUUUGCUAUGAACCCUCAUGAUAAGCUCUCACAUGGAAAAGAUGAAUAGUUGCUCUGCCAUGACUAGUUCUCAAAAUUGAAAUCUCUCUCAAGCUUAGGCAUUACUGUUAUGAAUUAAGAUUUGCUCUAAACCUGAACUUGUGGGAAGAGUACUUGAUCUAAAGUCUAAGUCUUUAACGGAUAUGAUAUGGAAAGGUUGAGUUGCUAUUUAUCUGUUCCUAGAGAUGCUAGAAUUCUGGAGAAUUUUAUAUUUGAAAAUCUUUAAAAUUUUGCAUGAUGAGUUCCUGUAUGAUGAGAGUUUGAAAUCCUACCACAGCCAUAUAUACAUGCCUAUUAGACUAUGAACCAUACAUUUACUUUUUACUGCUUAUGAGCAUUGAGUGUGGUCAAGCUAUGUAGACCCUUAGGAGCUUGUCAUGCGGUUAAAAUCAAGAUUCACUUGCACGUUCACUCAUACAUGCUGCUUCUACUCCGGAAGUACGCAUCCACAUAUAUCCACUCAUUUCCAUCUCCAGAAACACUCAAAAAUAUUCUACCAUAAUCCGGGAGAGAAUAACCAAAAACAUUUCUAUUUUUCCCCUGUGAAAUAAAUGCUCGAGUUAUCUUGGUUAUUACCACUUGCUAUAUUAUUCCAGGAGGGUGAGUGCUCUAAAAAAGAAGAAAAAAAGAGAGAGAAAAAAUACGAGGAAAUAAAAAGGGGCAAGUGCCCGAAAUCUCGAAGAAAAGAAAAAGUGAGACGAGAGGUAAAAAUGGACAAGUGUCCGACAGUAGAAUUAGGGGUACAAGAUACCCACCUGAGAGAAAAGAAAAAGAAAAUAUAGAGCAUCUCAUUCCACUCAAAAAGCUUCAAAGUGCAAGAAAGGUAUGUAUCCCCUCAAAAGAGCAAAAGUAGAAUUAGACUUUCACCAUUAUUUUCACCGUUAUCACCAUACACCAAUCAUUCGCCACACAUACACAUCUUGAUUUGACUUAUUGACUUGUUUCUCUGGAUCCAUGGUUUGACUAUGCAAUAAAUGUCUUGUAAGUAUGUAUUAGCUGUCUCCCACCUAUGAGCUCCAGAUAUCAAAGCCUCAUUAGAGUAGGGUGACAGAGAAGGCAAUAUCAUUAUGCCUCAUACCACAAAUACCACAUACUUUGAGAGAAGGCAUAUAUCAUCACUGCCUUGGUAAGGAUCCAGAAAUACCACAAAAGAGAGACUAGAGAGAGUCAUACAAGGAACCUCUGAGAUUUAUUUGAAACUCUGCAAAAACUCCAGAGCUAUAGUUGAUCAAAGAACAAGAGACAUGGUGCUUGACUUGACCGUUCUAUCUUUUAACUGCUCAAGACACAAGUGACGGUUGCAAGCCCCAUGGUGGAAGGUAAUAUGAGUAAGUUUAAAUCUUAAUAGUUUACCUUAACCUAGAGAUGAUCUUGUUUGAACGCAUGUGUACCUUUAAGGCAUAAAACCACUGCAGAAACUCUAGAGUCCAUCCUUGCUCAGGGAUGAGCAAGAGGUAAGCUUGGGGGAGUUGUUGACGGUCCUUAAGUACCAAAUAUAAUCAACAAAUAAAUAAAGAAAAGUAUCCAAAUGCAACCAACACCCAGACUUAGGGUUUUAUCUGACAUAAUUCCACGAGUUUUGGUGUUUGUCUAUUUUUGCAGGGGGUUAUCAGGAAAUAUGGUGGAAAGGCCCACAUGUCGGGUUUACAUAGAGAUAUUAAUGUGCCGCACAAUUUUCUAUCAUCUAGAAGACUCCAGAAGCCACGGGAACAAAGCGGAAGCCGAGAGGGCUCAGGGACAGGGCGCCCGCCCAAGUCCUUAGGGCGCCCGCCCACCUAUUUCGGCCAAUCACGUUCAACUUUGCGGAUUAUGCUCCACCGACCUAAAGGAUCAAGAAUAACCAUUCAAUCAAGGUCGGUUUGAUCCGACGGGCCAGAUUCACUUGAGGGGACUAUAUAACCAGACCCCCUGGCCCCUGGAGGAGGCACCCCUUGAUCAUUAUUCAUUAUUCAUAGAUAGAGCAAAAGCUAGGGUUUGGAGAUGAGAGCUCUCCUUUCAUCUCUAAACUAGAGUAGAUCUAGAUAGUAGCGAGAUGG